This 467-nucleotide ribosomal RNA is filed under the name uncultured bacterium. RNAcentral describes it as "partial 16S ribosomal RNA". It matches the Rfam family "Bacterial small subunit ribosomal RNA", at positions 28 to 507 of the family's 1533-position model. The record is from RNAcentral.
GAUGAACGCUGGCGGCGUGCUUAACACAUGCAAGUCGAACGGAAAGGCCAGUGCUUGCCCUGGUACUCGAGUGGCGAACGGGUGAGUAACGCGUGGGUGAUCUGCCCUGCACUUCGGGAUAAGCCUGGGAAACUGGGUCUAAUACCGGAUAGGACACUGGCUUGGAUGCCGUUGUGGCAAGUUUUGUCGGGGGGGGGUGGGCUCGCGGCCUAUCAGCUUGUUGGUGGGGUAAUGGCCUACCGGGGCGUCGCCGGGGAGCCGGCCGGGGGGGGUGGACGGCGGCGGUGGGGGUGGGAGGGGGGCCAGGCCGGACGGGGGGCAGGAGGGGGGAAUAGUGCACAAUGGGGGCAAGCGUGAGGCAGCGAGGCCGCGGGGGGGAUGACGGGCUUCGGGUUGUAAACUCCUUUCGCUAGGGACGAAGCGGAUUUGUGACGGUACCUGGAGAAGAAGCACCGGCUAACUACGUG